GUCGCUGACAAAGGGAGGCAGUGACCCCUAGCGGCCGGCGACGGGGCACGAGCUGCUUGGCGGGGGUGGAGUUAAGAUGGGGCGGGGGUGGCGGUGGGGGAGCCUGCCAUGAGGAGAAUCGUGGAUCGAGUCAUGUCCGAGCUGAAAGGGCUUCUGCAGCCUCUCCCCUCCACCCUGGCCCCAUUUUACAGCUCCUUGUUCUUUAGGACUCAGUUCACGUGUGUCCCUUCCUCCUGGUGACCCCCUCAUCCCUCAAAGCAGGCAGUGGUGAGCCGUGGAAGGUUUCUGAACAGAGAAGCGCUUAUGGAGAGCUGUCAGAGCUGUGCUUCCAGGAGAGGGAUCUGGCAACAAUGUGGGCAGGACAGACAGAUGACGAUUGGAAGAGCAAGCACCACCGAUGUGCCUCCGCUGGGAAGCGCCAGGACCAAUGGGCAGCCGUGUGAGGGGAGCAGAUUGUAGCUGGUUCAGGGGAGACUGUGGCCUCCGAGUUGACGGCUGAUGGAAUGAACUCCGUCACCUUCCGACCGAGGCCACGGGUCCACGUGUCACGGUCGCCGUGGACGGAAUUCCUGUCCUGCCUUGGAGAGGAGACGAUGGCUUCCACGUUCCUUCCUGGCCCUGCGGCUUGAUGACUGCGGAGGUGACAGCUCAUUCAAAGGACGGGCAGCUGGGCUUACCUUUGUCACCCACCCCAGGCUGGGGGCAGUGACGGGGGCAUCCAGACAGAGGACAGCCCUGAGAAAGGUGCUCACCCCAAAGCUCCCUCAGCUUCCACAGGCUUUCUCAGAAAGGCAGCUGUUGGCUUAGAAAAGACCCAAACAGUUAAUAAUGGCUUCCCCUCCUGGCCGUCCCCAAAGCCCCUUUGUGUCAUUCAAUAACUGACCAGUAAAGCCUACUUUGAUGUGAGGGGAACCCUCUUAAGAAGUCCCCAAGAUUCCCCAGUCCUCUGAGUUCUCUUACUGGGGCAGACAUCUCAGCGCCUAGGGCAAGAUGUGUUGGAAUAGGGUGCCGCAUGAGGGUCACUCCUUUUUGCGUCUCCAGUCUGGGGUCAGUUGAGAUUGAGUUGAAAGAAGAUGAGAGGAGGAGGGAUCCCACAGAGGAAGCAUGGCCAAAACCCCAACCCCAGAGCACCCCCCUACACACACACACAGAUGCCCACUUUCCUAACUUGAGAGGCCAACCUCACCCCAGGCAGUGCUCCUGGGGGUAGUUGGGAAACCGCGGGUCCUAAUUACUGUUAUCAUCCCCUUGGUAGCUGUGGUGAUUAUGCUGGUGCCUCUGUCUCCCACAGUGCUUAGCAACAUUUAAUUAUUGUUAUUCCUGCAGAGAUCACUGCAUAGCCUCCCCAUUGGCAUGGCUGUCAUUGCUCUUGGGGAUGGAUCAGCUGAACGCAGCUGCACCCCACCCCAACAU
Tupaia belangeri chinensis (Chinese tree shrew) is the source of this 1413-nucleotide long non-coding RNA. RefSeq lists it as uncharacterized. The transcript is spliced from 4 exons. Lineage: Eukaryota; Metazoa; Chordata; Mammalia; Scandentia; Tupaiidae. The record is from RefSeq and is a predicted model, not a curated record.